GGCGGGUCUAGCAAAGUUAUGCCAGGGGGCCAGGUAGGGUAUUAACAGGGAAAGGGGGGCACAAAGAAAUACUUUUCUUACUUAUUCUCAUUUAAAAUAUCUCGCUUUUAUUAAAUAAUUAUCUGAAUCUUGCGAACAAAGUUUUUAUCUGACGUAAAAUUGAUAGAAAUCAUACAUAUACCAACAAGACCGUGUACAUCACUGUCACAACAGCGUUUGUUUUCAUUCAAAGGCUUUAUGGCUUUAAUACCUGGUGGGCGGGGGCCAGGUAGGGCAUUAACAGGGAAAGGGGGGCACAAAGAAAUACUUUUCUUACUUAUUCUCAUUUAAAAUAUCUCGCUUUUAUUAAAUAAUUAUCUGAAUCUUGCGAACAAAGUUUUUAUCUGAUACCGUGUACAUCACUGUCACAACAGCGUUUGUUUUCAUUCAAAGGCUUUAUGGCUUUAAUACCUGGUGGGCCGGUCUCUAGUCAAAAUGCCCAAUUUUUUGUCCCAGUCCAACCCUGCAGGUUAAUACUGGCAGUGUCACCAUGCCAG
This is a long non-coding RNA of Oreochromis aureus, 536 nucleotides long. The record is from Ensembl. NCBI's taxonomy places the organism in Eukaryota, Metazoa, Chordata, Actinopteri, Cichliformes, Cichlidae.